RNAcentral lists this non-coding RNA (98 nucleotides) under unclassified sequences. RNAcentral's name for it is "DUF1874 RNA". It matches the Rfam family "DUF1874 RNA". Rfam says of the family: Hot springs metagenome only. Environment (Bison Hot Springs, Yellowstone) The record is from RNAcentral.
GUUAGUCCCGCAGGGAGAAGGUCAUCCACAGGUAAGACCGUCCAAGAGGGCGGCGCCUUUUCCCUUCUGCCGAAGGGCAGAGUUGCGGGACAGGAGGU